UUGGAAGUGAUGAUUAUUUCCCCAGAUGAUCGAAGUUGAUAUUACUGAGCGCAUUAUAGAAUUCUCUUUUUCAGAGAGAAUCCAAGCCAGAAAUCUGAUCCAC
Small nucleolar RNA from Lactuca sativa (garden lettuce), 103 nucleotides. RefSeq annotates it as small nucleolar RNA Z103. The record is from RefSeq and is a predicted model, not a curated record. NCBI's taxonomy places the organism in Eukaryota, Viridiplantae, Streptophyta, Magnoliopsida, Asterales, Asteraceae.